This 81-nucleotide transfer RNA is filed under the name bacterium. RNAcentral describes it as "tRNA-Leu". It matches the Rfam family "tRNA". From Rfam's summary of the family: Transfer RNA (tRNA) molecules are approximately 80 nucleotides in length. Their secondary structure includes four short double-helical elements and three loops (D, anti-codon, and T loops). The record is from RNAcentral.
GCGAGAGUGGCGGAAUUGGUAGACGCGCCAGAUUUAGGUUCUGGUGUUUAUGACGUGCGGGUUCGAGUCCCGCCUUUCGCA